RNAcentral lists this ribosomal RNA (1371 nucleotides) under uncultured bacterium. Its description in RNAcentral is "bacterial SSU rRNA". It matches the Rfam family "Bacterial small subunit ribosomal RNA", at positions 28 to 1381 of the family's 1533-position model. The record is from RNAcentral.
GAUGAACGCUGGCGGCGUGCCUAAUACAUGCAAGUCGAGCGAACAGAUAAGGAGCUUGCUCCUUUGAAGUUAGCGGCGGACGGGUGAGUAACACGUGGGUAACCCACCUAUAAGACUGGGAUAACUUCGGGAAACCGGAGCUAAUACCGGAUAACAUUUAGAACCGCAUGGUUCUAAAGUGAAAGAUGGUUUUGCUAUCACUUAUAGAUGGACCCGCGCCGUAUUAGCUAGUUGGUAAGGUAACGGCUUACCAAGGCGACGAUACGUAGCCGACCUGAGAGGGUGAUCGGCCACACUGGAACUGAGACACGGUCCAGACUCCUACGGGAGGCAGCAGUAGGGAAUCUUCCGCAAUGGGCGAAAGCCUGACGGAGCAACGCCGCGUGAGUGAUGAAGGGUUUCGGCUCGUAAAACUCUGUUAUUAGGGAAGAACAGAUGUGUAAGUAACUGUGCACAUCUUGACGGUACCUAAUCAGAAAGCCACGGCUAACUACGUGCCAGCAGCCGCGGUAAUACGUAGGUGGCGAGCGUUAUCCGGAAUUAUUGGGCGUAAAGCGCGCGUAGCGGUUUCUUAAGUCUGAUGUGAAAGCCCACGGCUCAACCGUGGAGGGUCAUUGGAAACUGGGAAACUUGAGUGCAGAAGAGGAAAGUGGAAUUCCAUGUGUAGCGGUGAAAUGCGCAGAGAUAUGGAGGAACACCAGUGGCGAAGGCGACUUUCUGGUCUGUAACUGACGCUGAUGUGCGAAAGCGUGGGGAUCAAACAGGAUUAGAUACCCUGGUAGUCCACGCCGUAAACGAUGAGUGCUAAGUGUUAGGGGGUUUCCGCCCCUUAGUGCUGCAGCUAACGCACUAAGCACUCCGCCUGGGGAGUACGACCGCAAGGUUGAAACUCAAAGGAAUUGACGGGGACCCGCACAAGCGGUGGAGCAUGUGGUUUAAUUCGAAGCAACGCGAAGAACCUUACCAAAUCUUGACAUCCUUUGAAAACUCUAGAGAUAGAGCCUUCCCCUUCGGGGGACAAAGUGACAGGUGGUGCAUGGUUGUCGUCAGCUCGUGUCGUGAGAUGUUGGGUUAAGUCCCGCAACGAGCGCAACCCUUAAGCUUAGUUGCCAUCAUUAAGUUGGGCACUCUAGGUUGACUGCCGGUGACAAACCGGAGGAAGGUGGGGAUGACGUCAAAUCAUCAUGCCCCUUAUGAUUUGGGCUACACACGUGCUACAAUGGACCAUACAAAGGGCAGCUAAACCACGAGGUCAUGCAAAUCCCAUAAAGUUGUUCUCAGUUCGGAUUGUAGUCUGCAACUCGACUACAUGAAGCUGGAAUCGCUAGUAAUCGUAGAUCAGCAUGCUACGGUGAAUACGUUCCCGGGUCU